CCUACGGGUGGCAGCAGUGAGGAAUAUUGGUCAAUGGACGAGAGUCUGAACCAGCCAAGUAGCGUGAAGGAUGACUGCCCUAUGGGUUGUAAACUUCUUUUAUAUGGGAAUAAAACAGGGUAUGCAUACCCUCUUGUAUGUACCAUAUGAAUAAGGAUCGGCUAACUCCGUGCCAGCAGCCGCGGUAAUACGGAGGAUCCGAGCGUUAUCCGGAUUUAUUGGGUUUAAGGGGAGGGAAGGCGGAAAGUCAAGUCAGCGGUAAAAUUUCGGGGCUCAACCCCGUCGUGCGGUUGAAACUGGCGUUCUUGAGUGAGCGAGAGGUAUGCGGAAUGCGUGGGGUAGCGGUGAAAUGCAUAGAUAUCACGCAGAACUCCGAUUGCGAAGGCAGCAUACCGGCGCUCAACUGACGAUCAUGCACGAAAGCGUGGGUAUCGAACAGGAUUAGAUACCCCUGUAGUC
This 459-nucleotide ribosomal RNA is filed under the name uncultured bacterium. RNAcentral's name for it is "partial 16S ribosomal RNA". It matches the Rfam family "Bacterial small subunit ribosomal RNA", at positions 338 to 795 of the family's 1533-position model. The record is from RNAcentral.